RNAcentral lists this ribosomal RNA (1434 nucleotides) under uncultured organism. RNAcentral describes it as "partial small subunit ribosomal RNA". It matches the Rfam family "Bacterial small subunit ribosomal RNA". The record is from RNAcentral.
UGUCGGCGUGCUUAACACAUGCAAGUCGAACGGAAAGGCCCUGCUUUUGUGGGGUGCUCGAGUGGCGAACGGGUGAGUAACACGUGAGUAACCUGCCCUUGACUUUGGGAUAACUUCAGGAAACUGGGGCUAAUACCGGAUAGGAGCUCCUGCUGCAUGGUGGGGGUUGGAAAGUUUCGGCGGUUGGGGAUGGACUCGCGGCUUAUCAGCUUGUUGGUGGGGUAGUGGCUUACCAAGGCUUUGACGGGUAGCCGGCCUGAGAGGGUGACCGGCCACAUUGGGACUGAGAUACGGCCCAGACUCCUACGGGAGGCAGCAGUGGGGAAUAUUGCACAAUGGGCGGAAGCCUGAUGCAGCAACGCCGCGUGCGGGAUGACGGCCUUCGGGUUGUAAACCGCUUUCGCCUGUGACGAAGCGUGAGUGACGGUAAUGGGUAAAGAAGCACCGGCUAACUACGUGCCAGCAGCCGCGGUGAUACGUAGGGUGCGAGCGUUGUCCGGAUUUAUUGGGCGUAAAGGGCUCGUAGGUGGUUGAUCGCGUCGGAAGUGUAAUCUUGGGGCUUAACCCUGAGCGUGCUUUCGAUACGGGUUGACUUGAGGAAGGUAGGGGAGAAUGGAAUUCCUGGUGGAGCGGUGGAAUGCGCAGAUAUCAGGAGGAACACCAGUGGCGAAGGCGGUUCUCUGGGCCUUUCCUGACGCUGAGGAGCGAAAGCGUGGGGAGCGAACAGGCUUAGAUACCCUGGUAGUCCACGCUGUAAACGGUGGGUACUAGGUGUGGGGUCCAUUCCACGGGUUCCGUGCCGUAGCUAACGCUUUAAGUACCCCGCCUGGGGAGUACGGCCGCAAGGCUAAAACUCAAAGGAAUUGACGGGGCCCCGCACAAGCGGCGGAGCAUGCGGAUUAAUUCGAUGCAACGCGUAGAACCUUACCUGGGUUUGACAUGGAUCGGGAGUGCUCAGAGAUGGGUGUGCCUCUUUUGGGGUCGGUUCACAGGUGGUGCAUGGCUGUCGUCAGCUCGUGUCGUGAGAUGUUGGGUUAAGUCCCGCAACGAGCGCAACCCUUGUUCACUGUUGCCAGCACGUUAUGGUGGGGACUCAGUGGAGACCGCCGGGGUCAACUCGGAGGAAGGUGGGGAUGACGUCAAGUCAUCAUGCCCCUUAUGUCCAGGGCUUCACGCAUGCUACAAUGGCUGGUACAGAGAGUGGCGAGCCUGUGAGGGUGAGCGAAUCUCGGAAAGCCGGUCUCAGUUCGGAUUGGGGUCUGCAACUCGACCUCAUGAAGUCGGAGUCGCUAGUAAUCGCAGAUCAGCAACGCUGCGGUGAAUACGUUCCCGGGGCUUGUACACACCGCCCGUCAAGUCAUGAAAGUUGGUAACACCCGAAGCCGGUGGCCUAACCGUUGUGGGGGAGCCGUCGAAGGUGGGACUGGUGAUUAG